UACGUAGGGGGCAAGCGUUGUCCGGAAUCAUUGGGCGUAAAGAGCGUGUAGGCGGUUCGGUAAGUCGGCUGUGAAAGUCCCGGGCUCAACCCUGGGAUGCCGGUCGAUACUGCCGGACUAGAGUUCGGAAGAGGCGAGUGGAAUUCCCGGUGUAGCGGUGAAAUGCGCAGAUAUCGGGAGGAACACCGAUGGCGAAGGCAGCUCGCUGGGACGUUACUGACGCUGAGACGCGAAAGCGUGGGGAGCAAACAGG
RNAcentral lists this ribosomal RNA (253 nucleotides) under uncultured bacterium. RNAcentral's name for it is "partial 16S ribosomal RNA". It matches the Rfam family "Bacterial small subunit ribosomal RNA", at positions 524 to 776 of the family's 1533-position model. The record is from RNAcentral.